RNAcentral lists this ribosomal RNA (243 nucleotides) under uncultured Actinomycetales bacterium. RNAcentral describes it as "partial 16S ribosomal RNA". It matches the Rfam family "Bacterial small subunit ribosomal RNA", at positions 88 to 334 of the family's 1533-position model. The record is from RNAcentral. Lineage: Bacteria; Bacillati; Actinomycetota; Actinomycetes; Actinomycetales.
UACUCGAGUGGCGAACGGGUGAGUAACACGUGGGUGAUCUGCCCUGCACUUCGGGAUAAGCUUGGGAAACUGGGUCUAAUACCGGAUAGGAGCCAUCUUUAGUGUGGUGGUUGGAAAGUUUUUUAGGUGUAGGAUGAGCUCGCGGCCUAUCAGCUUGUUGGUGGGGUAAUGGCCUACCAAGGCGGCGACGGGUAGCCGGCCUGAGAGGGUGUACGGCCACAUUGGGACUGAGAUACGGCCCAG